CCUACGGGUGGCUGCAGUGAGGAAUAUUGGUCAAUGGCCGGAAGGCUGAACCAGCCAAGCCGCGUGAGGGACGAAGGUACCGAGCAUCGUAAACUUCUUUUGUCAGGGGACAAAAUCAGGCUCGAGAGCCUGACCGAGGGUACUUGAAGAAAAAGCAUCGGCUAACUCCGUGCCAGCAGCCGCGGUAAUACGGAGGAUGCGAGCGUUAUCCGGAUUUAUUGGGUUUAAAGGGUGCGUAGGCGGGCUGUUAAGUCAGCGGUAAAAGCCCGGGGCUCAACCCCGGCGCGCCGUUGAAACUGGGAGUGUCGAGUUGGAGAGAAGUAUGCGGAAUGAGCGGUGUAGCGGUGAAAUGCAUAG
This 357-nucleotide ribosomal RNA is filed under the name uncultured bacterium. RNAcentral describes it as "partial 16S ribosomal RNA". It matches the Rfam family "Bacterial small subunit ribosomal RNA", at positions 338 to 693 of the family's 1533-position model. The record is from RNAcentral.